This 72-nucleotide transfer RNA is filed under the name Amazona aestiva (blue-fronted amazon). It matches the Rfam family "tRNA". From Rfam's summary of the family: Transfer RNA (tRNA) molecules are approximately 80 nucleotides in length. The record is from Rfam by way of RNAcentral. Lineage: Eukaryota; Metazoa; Chordata; Aves; Psittaciformes; Psittacidae.
UCCCUGGUGGUCUAGUGGUUAGGAUUUGGUGCUCUCACCGCCGUGGCCCGGGUUCGAUUCCCGCUCAGGGAA